GAUGAACGCUGGCGGCGUGCCUAAUACAUGCAAGUCGAGCGAACGGACGAUGAGCUUGCUUCUCUGAUGUUAGCGGCGGACGGGUGAGUAACACGUGUAUAACCUACCUAUAAGACUGGGAUAACUUCGGGAAACCGGCGCUAAUACCGGAUAAUAUUUUGAACCGCAUGGUUCAAAAGUGAAAGACGGUCUUGCUGUCACUUAUAGCUGGAUCCGCGCUGCAUUAGCUAGUUGGUAAGGUAACGGCUUACCAAGGCUACGAUGCAUAGCCGAGCUGAGAGGGUGAUCGGCCACACUGGAACUGAGACACGGUCCAGACUCCUACGGGAGGCAGCAGUAGGGAAUCUUCCGCAAUGGGCGAAAGCCUGACGGAGUAACGCCGCGUGAGUGAUGAAGGUCUUCGGAGCGUAAAACUCUGUUAUUAGGGAAGAACAUAUGUGUAAGUAACUGUGCACAUCUUGACGGUACCUAAUCAGAAAGCCCCGGCUAACUACGUG
This 497-nucleotide ribosomal RNA is filed under the name uncultured bacterium. Its description in RNAcentral is "partial 16S ribosomal RNA". It matches the Rfam family "Bacterial small subunit ribosomal RNA", at positions 28 to 507 of the family's 1533-position model. The record is from RNAcentral.